GGGGCUGUAGCUCAGUGGUAGAACACUUGCCUAACAUGCAUAAGGUGCUGGGUUCAAUCACCAGCCCCA
RNAcentral lists this transfer RNA (69 nucleotides) under Heterocephalus glaber (naked mole-rat). It matches the Rfam family "tRNA". Rfam says of the family: Transfer RNA (tRNA) molecules are approximately 80 nucleotides in length. Their secondary structure includes four short double-helical elements and three loops (D, anti-codon, and T loops). Lineage: Eukaryota; Metazoa; Chordata; Mammalia; Rodentia; Bathyergidae. The record is from Rfam by way of RNAcentral.